CUCAAUUCCCUCCACUUGUCAAAAAUUAUACAACACCUACACCUCUUCUAGUGGGGGGUGGGUAAUGGUGUUGUGGAAAAAAAAAGAGUUUGAUGAAUGAUAAGAUAGAUUUUAUGAUUUGGAUAAAUGGGUCUUUAUUAGUACAAUAUUUCCUUGAAUUUUGGAUGAACAUGGAUGACAUUUAACAAAGACAAACUCUUUUUUUUUUUUUUUUUUGUGAUUUUCUUGCAUGCAGUAUCAAUCCACAUUAGUCAUCUAUUGCUAUUGGACUCUGUUUUCAACACUUACUAUAUUUUAGAGGGAGAGUAUUAAGUUUUUUCUGAUAAAGGUGGUGGCUAGACCAACUUGCAUGCGACCUCACUAUUCUAUCGGGUACCUGCUAAUAACAGGGGAUGGUUGUAAAGCACAUCUUUUGCGGUGCUUUUAAUAUUAAAUCUAGUAAGAGAAUCAGUAUGGAUGGAGUACGUACCUCAGAAAACAAAGCUGUUAAUGCUGGACCGAAGAAUAUCUCGUGCUCGGCUUCUGCUCAAGACCUGAGAUUGUUUGAGAUGGAUAGGGAGAAAUACGACGAUUCUUCUCCUAGAGGAGUUAUUGAGGCGAGCAUCAGAAACCAGGAGGGUGGCUCCAAUUUUCCUAAAGCAGAACCCUCAGGUUCUGAAAUCUGCUCGUCACAUCCACGGACAUCCUCGCGCUGGCACAAGUUCUUCAAAAUGUGGAAGAAAAGUUCUGUCAAAAGACUACCUUCAUUUCCACCCUUAGCUGUGCCAAGGAUAUCAACAAGGAAAAGCAGAAGUGCCAGGGAGAAUGUAGCAGCAGGUUUCUAUCACUUCAAAUCAUCCUGGAAGAACUUCAGCCUGUCUGAACUGAAAAAUGCUACCAACAAUUUUAGCAAAGAAAACUUGAUUGGCAAAGGAGGGUAUGCUGAAGUUUACAAGGGUUGUUUGCCUGAUGGUCAGCUUAUCGCGGUUAAGCGCCUCAAUAAAGGUACACCAGAGGAGCAGGAACAAAACUUCCUAUGUGAAAUAGGUACAAUAGCACAUGUAGACCAUCCUAAUACUGCAAGGAUGGUUGGUUAUGGAGUGGAAGGAGGGACAUACCUUAUACUUCAGUUAUCUUCUCUAGGGAGCUUAGGGUCAUUUCUUCGUGGCUCAAGGGAUAAGCUAGACUGGGCCGCCAGAUACAAAAUAAUAUUUGGAAUAGCAAAUGGCCUACUAUACCUUCAUGAGAAUUGCCAAAGGCGGAUUAUACACAGAGAUAUUAAAGCUGAUAAUAUUCUUCUUACGGAGGAUUUUGUGCCUCAGAUUUGUGACUUUGGCCUUGCAAAGUGGCUUCCGAAAGAGUGGACACAUCAUAAUGUGGGCAAGUUUGAAGGCACAUUUGGUUAUUUUGCUCCGGAGUAUUUUAUGCACGGAACUGUGGAUGAGAAAACCGAUGUAUUUUCUUUUGGUGUGCUGCUAUUGGAGAUAAUAACCGGAAGGCAAGCAUUAGAUGAUUCACAGCAGAGCCUUGUGAUUUGGGCAAAGCCUCUGCUCGAAAAGGACAACGUGAAAGAACUAAUUGAUCCUGUUCUUGGUGAUAAGUACAAUCCAAAAGAGAUGGAGCGUGUUAUUCUAACUGCCGGCUUAUGUGUAGAACAGAAUCCACUUCUGCGGCCUCGAAUGAAUCAGGCUAUCGUCCUAAUGAAGACGGAAGACGAAUGCUACAAGCAGAAAUUCCAGCGGAGGAGGACAUAUUCCGAAGAACUCAUGGAUGCAGCGGAGUACAACUCGACCAAAUGCCUGAAUGAUCUUAAACAGAUUAAUCUAAGAAGCUCAGUUUCAGAUGUCAACAUAAAGGCCUCAGCAGCUUAGCAAGACUUUGUAAUACAGCUCAUUACACAAUUUAGUCACAGCUUAAAGGAAGAAGAUCAAGGUUCUUUGAGUGCUUUUUAACCCUCCUAUCAGGAAAAAGCUGUUUGGUGCCGUUUGGAAGAUUGUUUAUCGAAAAAGACGAUGAACUAAACAUGAUACUCCUCCGUUUCAUUUUACUCGUCCCAAAUUUCCUAAUUUGUUGUCCCAUUUUACUUGUCAUUUCUUACUUAUCAAGCCAGGACAAUUUUUUUUUCCUAUUAUACCCUUAAUGUAAUUGAUUACUCGUUAUUAUUAGCAUUCUUGAAAAAUACUGCAAAGAGGAGUACCAUUAAGAGUACACCAUUAAGAAUAUAAAUGGUGGUUUAGUAUUA
Molecule: RNA transcript, 2221 nt
Organism: Capsicum annuum
Lineage: Eukaryota; Viridiplantae; Streptophyta; Magnoliopsida; Solanales; Solanaceae
Gene name: receptor-like cytosolic serine/threonine-protein kinase RBK2
Exons: 12
Source: RefSeq, a predicted model, not a curated record